RNAcentral lists this unclassified non-coding RNA (1616 nucleotides) under Hevea brasiliensis (rubber tree). The record is from RNAcentral. Lineage: Eukaryota; Viridiplantae; Streptophyta; Magnoliopsida; Malpighiales; Euphorbiaceae.
UUUUGAAAAAAAACGUAUUGGAUCACUCGAUUGCAUUCAAGAGAACUACAAUGAAAAAGAAGCGAUCAGAAUUAGCCAACUACCUUCAAUCCUAGAAAUGUUGCAAAAACUAAGCCAUAGAGGCUAUUAGUUCCUUUAAUUUUCUGUGCUAUAUGAGAAAAAACAUAUUACAGCUACAUGUACCAAGCUUCUAUAACUGCGAUGAUCUAUGAAACACAGAAAUGAAAAUAAGAAACUAAAACAAAUAAAACCUAAAAUUUUUUUUCUUCAGCAAUUAAUCUCAUGAAUCAUAUUACAUUCAUAAAUUCCCCCAUUUUUAUUCAGUUCCUCCACCUCGCUGAAGCCAAUGGGCUUGCAUACUCGUUAAAAUUAUCUUGGCAAUCCAAACUUCAAUCAGCUCGAUUGGAUUUAUGAACUUUAUACCAAGAGAGGAACUUCGGCUAUUUGGAUGUGUCUAUCUCCAUGGAGGCUGUGGAUGUUUAUAUUGUAACGAGAAAGGCUCCCAACCACCAUCUGGUUCCCUCCUUUUCCCACCCACUCCAGAGCUCGAGGAGGGUUGCAAGUUGCCCCUCAGAUGCUCCUCCAUUGAUCUGCUUUGACCAGUCAUGAAAAGUUGCCUCAAACCCCCAGGACCUCCUUCAAUUGCAAAACCAGAAUUUAGAUCAAAGUUAGGCCGUGAGGGCCCUGCACCAUUUAAACUUAGAGGCAGUGCACUGGUCAUACUCAUCAUGAAAGAGGGUUGGGAAUAAGCAGGAGGAACAGCAGAUGUAGAACCCAAAAUUUGAGGCACCACAGGGGUUCCUCUUGAAUCUACCAUGUAAGGUAUGGAGGCACCAGAUCCAUACACCGCCGAGGAGAUGGACAUGGAAGGCGCUGUGGUCAGUCCAUUGUACCCAAAAAUAGGAGAAUGUGUGUAUGAAGCUGUUGGAAUCCCAAGAACACCCCCCAUUCUGGACACAUUUGCUUCCACUGUAGGAUCCAGAGGCUUGCCAUUUGGCAAGGAUGGAUUUUGAGGAACAAAAUCUGCUCUCCUGGCUUCCGCUCUACUACCCACUUCAACUCUGGUACCCAUGAUAGAAAUAACAGGAUCACCCGAUUUAGAACCUCCAAAAGCACUUACAUUUUGGUUGCCAAGAUGGAGACCUUGAUCCAAAGAAUCAUUGUGGAAAAGAGGCCUAUCAUUCAAAUCAAAAUUCCUCAGUGAAGGCUGCAUAGACGAUGACGAAGAUGCAGGAGAUGGGCUGCGAUGGCCAUUCCGGGGGUAGAACAGCUGUCCCUCCAUCCUCAAACCUGAAGGCGGACCAUCAGCAUCAUUGCUAAUACAAUUUAAAUCCAAGUUGGGCCUUUCUGACCUUCUUAGACCCACUUCUAGUGAAGAUUCCCCGGAAUGCAGGCCAGAUGAGACUGGAAUUUGUCUUCCUGAAAUAAAGUCCAUCACCUUCUCAUCACCAUCUUCAGCCACAUUGAGAUCAAUAUCAAGGCUGUCCUGUCUCUGUUUUGAACUACUGCUGGUUCCCCCAGCCUCUAGAUUCUUGUCACCAUCAAAAGUCUUGCGUGGUGAAGCUGGUCGAAAAGCACUAGUAGCUGCAGACCCUUUCCAUCCGAGAAUGCCCUCA